UACGGAGGGUGCGAGCGUUGUCCGGAAUCACUGGGCGUAAAGGGCGCGUAGGCGGCUCGUUAAGGGUGCGGUGAAAGCCCGGGGCUUAACCCCGGGUCGGCCGUGCCGACUGAUGAGCUCGAGCACUGUGGAGGCAGGUGGAAUUCCGGGUGUAGCGGUGGAAUGCGUAGAGAUCCGGAAGAACACCAGUGGCGAAGGCGGCCUGCUGGGCAGUGGCUGACGCUGAGGCGCGACAGCGUGGGGAGCAAACAGG
This 253-nucleotide ribosomal RNA is filed under the name uncultured bacterium. RNAcentral describes it as "partial 16S ribosomal RNA". It matches the Rfam family "Bacterial small subunit ribosomal RNA", at positions 524 to 776 of the family's 1533-position model. The record is from RNAcentral.